AGACCCGAAACCCGGUGAUCUAGCCAUGGGCAGGUUGAAGGUUGGGUAACACUAACUGGAGGACCGAACCGACUAAUGUUGAAAAAUUAGCGGAUGACCUGUGGCUGGGGGUGAAAGGCCAAUCAAACCGGGAGAUAGCUGGUUCUCCCCGAAAGCUAUUUAGGUAGCGCCUCGUGAAUUCAUCUCCGGGGGUAGAGCACUGUUUCGGCUAGGGGGCCAUCCCGGCUUACCAACCCGAUGCAAACUGCGAAUACCGGAGAAUGUUAUCACGGGAGACACACGGCGGGUGCUAACGUCCGUCGUGAAGAGGGAAACAACCCAGACCGCCAGCUAAGGUCCCAAAGUCAUGGUUAAGUGGGAAACGAUGUGGGAAGGCCCAGACAGCCAGGAUGUUGGCUUAGAAGCAGCCAUCAUUUAAAGAAAGCGUAAUAGCUCACUGGUCGAGUCGGCCUGCGCGGAAGAUGUAACGGGGCUAAACCAUGCACCGAAGCUGCGGCAGCGAACGUAUCACCCAAGACAACUUUACGGAGUUGACGAUUGACGGAGCGAAGCGACGUCAAAGCGUUCAUUAAAGUCGAGUUGGCUUAGGGAUACGUUCGUUGGGUAGGGGAGCGUUCUGUAAGCCUGUGAAGGUGUGUCGUGAGGCAUGCUGGAGGUAUCAGAAGUGCGAAUGCUGACAUA
RNAcentral lists this ribosomal RNA (681 nucleotides) under Salmonella enterica. RNAcentral describes it as "partial 23S ribosomal RNA". It matches the Rfam family "Bacterial large subunit ribosomal RNA", at positions 711 to 1304 of the family's 2925-position model. RNAcentral also lists the same sequence under 4 other names. Lineage: Bacteria; Pseudomonadati; Pseudomonadota; Gammaproteobacteria; Enterobacterales; Enterobacteriaceae. The record is from RNAcentral.